AUGCUUAACACAUGCAAGUCGAACGAGAAAGUGGAGCAAUCCAUGAGUAAAGUGGCGACCGGGUGAGUAACACGUGACUAACCUGCCUUCGAGUGGGGAAUAACCUAGGGAAACCUGGGCUAAUACCGCAUAACACUUACGAGUCAAAGCAGUAAUGCGCUUGAGGAGGGGGUCGCGGCAGAUUAGCUAGUUGGUGGGGUAAUGGCCCACCAAGGCGAUGAUCUGUAUCCGGCCUGAGAGGGCGCACGGACACACUGGAACUGAAACACGGUCCAGACUCCUACGGGAGGCAGCAGUGGGGAAUUUUGCGCAAUGGGGGAAACCCUGACGCAGCAACGCCGCGUGGAGGAUGAAAUCCCUUGGGAUGUAAACUCCUUUCGAUCGGGACGAUUAUGACGGUACCGGAAGAAGAAGCCCCGGCUAACUUCGUGCCAGCAGCCGCGGUAAUACGAGGGGGGCAAGCGUUGUUCGGAAUUAUUGGGCGUAAAGGGUGCGUAGGCGGUCUGAUAAGUCAUCUGUGAAAUCUAUGGGCUCAACCCAUAGUCUGCAGGCGAAACUGUCGGGCUUGAGUAUGGGAGAGGUGAGUGGAAUUUCCGGUGUAGCGGUGAAAUGCGUAGAUAUCGGAAGGAACACCAGUGG
RNAcentral lists this ribosomal RNA (639 nucleotides) under uncultured bacterium. RNAcentral describes it as "bacterial SSU rRNA". It matches the Rfam family "Bacterial small subunit ribosomal RNA", at positions 44 to 715 of the family's 1533-position model. The record is from RNAcentral.